AACGAACGUUGGCGGCGUGCUUAACACAUGCAAGUCGAACGAGAAAGUUCCUUCGGGGACGAGUAAAGUGGCGCACGGGUGAGUAACGCGUAAGUAAUCUACCUUCGCAUCUGGAAUAACUACGGGAAGCUGUAGCUAAUACCGGAUACGAUCUCUUGUCUACGGACUUGAGAAGAAAGAUGGCCUCUUCUUGAAAGCUAUCGUGCGGGGAGGAGCUUGCGUACCAUUAGCUAGUUGGUAGGGUAAUGGCCUACCAAGGCAACGAUGGUUAGCGGGUCUGAGAGGAUGAUCCGCCACACUGGAACAGGAACACGGACCAGACUCCUACGGGAGGCAGCAGUGAGGAAUAUAGCGCAAUGGGGGAAACCCUGACGCAGCGACGCCGCGUGGAUGAUGAAGGCCCUUGGGUCGUAAAAUCCUGUCAGGUGGGAAGAAAUGCAUAUGAAUUAAUACUUCUUAUGUUUGACGGUACCACCAAAGGAAGCACCGGCUAACUCCGUGCCAGCAGCCGCGGUAAUACGGAGGGUGCAAACGUUGUUCGGAAUUACUGGGCGUAAAGCGCGCGUAGGCGGUUUGUUAAGUCAGAUGUGAAAGUCCACAGCUCAACUGUGGAAGUGCAUUUGAAACUGGCAGACUUGAGUACUGGAGGGGGUGGUGGAAUUCCCGGUGUAGAGGUGAAAUUCGUAGAUAUCGGGAGGAAUACCGGUGGCGAAGGCGACCACCUGGCCAGAUACUGACGCUGAGGUGCGGAAGCGUGGGGAGCAAACAGGAUUAGAUACCCUGGUAGUCCACGCCGUAAACGAUGUCAACUAAGGUGUUGGGGCGGUUAAUCGUCUCAUUGCCGGAGCUAACGCAUUAAGUUGACCGCCUGGGGAAGUACGGGUCGCGAAGAUUAAAACCUCAAAGGAAUUGACGG
This 916-nucleotide ribosomal RNA is filed under the name uncultured bacterium. RNAcentral describes it as "bacterial SSU rRNA". It matches the Rfam family "Bacterial small subunit ribosomal RNA", at positions 28 to 916 of the family's 1533-position model. The record is from RNAcentral.